GUAAUUACAGUGUAUUAAUUGUAGCGUGAAAAGUUAAUAGCGCCAAUUACUAUUACUACUAUAUAUAUAUUUGGAAAUUGGAAAGUGGAUAUGAAUAGUAUGUUUUAAUAGUGUUUUAGAUUAUUUGUUUUAGUUUUAUAAUAAUAUUUUAUUUUAUCACAUAAAUUGAUUUUUAUAUAUAUUAUCUGAAAGUUGCCAUAGUAAUUCAAUACUUUGAGUAUAUGUUUAAAUUUUUAUAAUAAUAUAUUAUUCAUCAUAUAAUUGCUUUUUAAUAACUUAUGUACAUCAACUUUUUUAAAAAUCUACCUUCUUAACUAUGAUUUUUUUUUUGUAACAUUGCGAUCUAAAUUUUAUUAAAAACAGAUACUUUGCCAUUGUCGUACCAAACCGAACCAAGACCAACCGAACAACAUUUGUAUCGGUACCGAUAUUUAUUUUUAUUUUUAUUGUUUUUGUUUUCUAUAACAUGACACAGUAGCUAUCGUAUCGUACCAAACAACAUUGGUAAUUGUACAUGUAUUCAUUUUUAUGCGACGAUAAAUGAAUAUCAUCGCUACCAAUACCGUGUCAAUAUGAAUUGAUCGAUAUUUUACAAACAAUAUCGGUGUUUGUGGCAAUGAU
This 621-nucleotide long non-coding RNA is filed under the name Helianthus annuus (common sunflower). RNAcentral describes it as "hypothetical non coding rna". Lineage: Eukaryota; Viridiplantae; Streptophyta; Magnoliopsida; Asterales; Asteraceae. The record is from RNAcentral.